GAGGGUAGAGCUCAGCAGUAGAGCGUGUGCUUAGCAUGCACAAGGUCCUGGGCUCAAUCCCCGGUGCCUCCA
Molecule: transfer RNA, 72 nt
Filed under: Camelus bactrianus (Bactrian camel)
Lineage: Eukaryota; Metazoa; Chordata; Mammalia; Artiodactyla; Camelidae
Also listed under: 1 other name
Rfam family: tRNA
About the family: Transfer RNA (tRNA) molecules are approximately 80 nucleotides in length. Their secondary structure includes four short double-helical elements and three loops (D, anti-codon, and T loops). Further hydrogen bonds mediate the characteristic L-shaped molecular structure. tRNAs have two regions of fundamental functional importance: the anti-codon, which is responsible for specific mRNA codon recognition, and the 3' end, to which the tRNAs corresponding amino acid is attached (by aminoacyl-tRNA synthetases). tRNAs cope with the degeneracy of the genetic code in two manners: having more than one tRNA (with a specific anti-codon) for a particular amino acid; and 'wobble' base-pairing, i.e. permitting non-standard base-pairing at the 3rd anti-codon position.
Source: Rfam by way of RNAcentral